This 253-nucleotide ribosomal RNA is filed under the name uncultured bacterium. RNAcentral describes it as "partial 16S ribosomal RNA". It matches the Rfam family "Bacterial small subunit ribosomal RNA", at positions 524 to 776 of the family's 1533-position model. The record is from RNAcentral.
UACGUAGGGGGCAAGCGUUGUCCGGAAUUAUUGGGCGUAAAGAGCGCGUAGGCGGUCCGAUAAGUCGGCUGUGAAAGUCAGGGGCUCAACCCUUGAAAGCCGGCCGAUACUGUCGGACUAGAGUCCGGAAGAGGCGAGUGGAAUUCCCGGUGUAGCGGUGAAAUGCGCAGAUAUCGGGAGGAACACCAAUGGCGAAAGCGGCUUCCUGGUCCAGUACCGACGUUCAGGCACGAAAGCGUGGGGAGCAAACAGG